CGUGCUAAUCUGCGAUAAGCGCCGGUAAGGUGAUAUGAACCGUUAUAACCGGCGAUUUCCGAAUGGGGAAACCCAGUGUGACUCGUCACACUAUCAUUAACUGAAUCCAUAGGUUAAUGAGGCGAACCGGGGGAACUGAAACAUCUAAGUACCCCGAGGAAAAGAAAUCAACCGAGAUUCCCCCAGUAGCGGCGAGCGAACGGGGAGGAGCCCAGAGCCUGAAUCAGCAUGUGUGUUAGUGGAAGCGUCUGGAAAGGCGCGCGAUACAGGGUGACAGCCCCGUACACAAAAGCGCAUGUGCUGUGAGCUCGAUGAGUAGGGCGGGACACGUGGUAUCCUGUCUGAAUAUGGGGGGACCAUCCUCCAAGGCUAAAUACUCCUGACUGACCGAUAGUGAACCAGUACCGUGAGGGAAAGGCGAAAAGAACCCCGGCGAGGGGAGUGAAAAAGAACCUGAAACCGUGUACGUACAAGCAGUGGGAGCCCCACCACUAAGCCAGUGGUGAACUCCACAUACGCAUCCUUUGCUGAGGAUACGGUUAACGGAGCGAAAGCGACGUUCAACCUCAAAAGAAGCAGAGGGGGCUUAGUGGUGGGGUGACUGCGUACCUUUUGUAUAAUGGGUCAGCGACUUAUAUUCUGUAGCAAGGUUAACCGAAUAGGGGAGCCGGAGGGAAACCGAGUCUUAAUUGGGCGUUAAGUUGCAGGGUAUAGACCCGAAACCCGGUGAUCUAGCCAUGGGCAGGUUGAAGGUUGGGUAACACUAACUGGAGGACCGAACCGACUAAUGUUGAAAAAUUAGCGGAUGACCUGUGGCUGGGGGUGAAAGGCCAAUCAAACCGGGAGAUAGCUGGUUCUCCCCGAAAGCUAUUUAGGUAGCGCCUCGUGAAUUCAUCUCCGGGGGUAGAGCACUGUUUCGGCUAGGGGGCCAUCCCGGCUUACCAACCCGAUGCAAACUGCGAAUACCGGAGAAUGUUAUCACGGGAGACACACGGCGGGUGCUAACGUCCGUCGUGAAGAGGGAAACAACCCAGACCGCCAGCUAAGGUCCCAAAGUCAUGGUUAAGUGGGAAACGAUGUGGGAAGGCCCAGACAGCCAGGAUGUUGGCUUAGAAGCAGCCAUCAUUUAAAGAAAGCGUAAUAGCUCACUGGUCGAGUCGGCCUGCGCGGAAGAUGUAACGGGGCUAAACCAUGCACCGAAGCUGCGGCAGCGACACUAUGUGUUGUUGGGUAGGGGAGCGUUCUGUAAGCCUGUGAAGGUGGCCUGUGAGGGUUGCUGGAGGUAUCAGAAGUGCGAAUGCUGACAUAAGUAACGAUAAAGCGGGUGAAAAGCCCGCUCGCCGGAAGACCAAGGGUUCCUGUCCAACGUUAAUCGGGGCAGGGUGAGUCGACCCCUAAGGCGAGGCCGAAAGGCGUAGUCGAUGGGAAACGGGUUAAUAUUCCCGUACUUGGUGUUACUGCGAAGGGGGGACGGAGAAGGCUAUGUUGGCCGGGCGACGGUUGUCCCGGUUUAAGCGUGUAGGUGUGUGUUCCAGGUAAAUCCGGUUCACUUUAACACUGAGGCGUGAUGACGAGGCACUACGGUGCUGAAGCAACAAAUGCCCUGCUUCCAGGAAAAGCCUCUAAGCAUCAGGUAACAUCAAAUCGUACCCCAAACCGACACAGGUGGUCAGGUAGAGAAUACCAAGGCGCUUGAGAGAACUCGGGUGAAGGAACUAGGCAAAAUGGUGCCGUAACUUCGGGAGAAGGCACGCUGACACGUAGGUGAAGUGAUUUACUCAUGGAGCUGAAGUCAGUCGAAGAUACCAGCUGGCUGCAACUGUUUAUUAAAAACACAGCACUGUGCAAACACGAAAGUGGACGUAUACGGUGUGACGCCUGCCCGGUGCCGGAAGGUUAAUUGAUGGGGUCAGCGCAAGCGAAGCUCCUGAUCGAAGCCCCGGUAAACGGCGGCCGUAACUAUAACGGUCCUAAGGUAGCGAAAUUCCUUGUCGGGUAAGUUCCGACCUGCACGAAUGGCGUAAUGAUGGCCAGGCUGUCUCCACCCGAGACUCAGUGAAAUUGAACUCGCUGUGAAGAUGCAGUGUACCCGCGGCAAGACGGAAAGACCCCGUGAACCUUUACUAUAGCUUGACACUGAACAUUGAGCCUUGAUGUGUAGGAUAGGUGGGAGGCUUUGAAGUGUGGACGCCAGUCUGCAUGGAGCCGACCUUGAAAUACCACCCUUUAAUGUUUGAUGUUCUAACGUGGACCCGUGAUCCGGGUUGCGGACAGUGUCUGGUGGGUAGUUUGACUGGGGCGGUCUCCUCCUAAAGAGUAACGGAGGAGCACGAAGGUUGGCUAAUCCUGGUCGGACAUCAGGAGGUUAGUGCAAUGGCAUAAGCCAGCUUGACUGCGAGCGUGACGGCGCGAGCAGGUGCGAAAGCAGGUCAUAGUGAUCCGGUGGUUCUGAAUGGAAGGGCCAUCGCUCAACGGAUAAAAGGUACUCCGGGGAUAACAGGCUGAUACCGCCCAAGAGUUCAUAUCGACGGCGGUGUUUGGCACCUCGAUGUCGGCUCAUCACAUCCUGGGGCUGAAGUAGGUCCCAAGGGUAUGGCUGUUCGCCAUUUAAAGUGGUACGCGAGCUGGGUUUAGAACGUCGUGAGACAGUUCGGUCCCUAUCUGCCGUGGGCGCUGGAGAACUGAGGGGGGCUGCUCCUAGUACGAGAGGACCGGAGUGGACGCAUCACUGGUGUUCGGGUUGUCAUGCCAAUGGCACUGCCCGGUAGCUAAAUGCGGAAGAGAUAAGUGCUGAAAGCAUCUAAGCACGAAACUUGCCCCGAGAUGAGUUCUCCCUGAGACUUAAAGUCUCCUGAAGGAACGUUGAAGACGACGACGUUGAUAGGCCGGGUGUGUAAGCGCAGCGAUGCGUUGAGCUAACCGGUACUAAUGAACCGUGAGGCUUAACCUUACAACGCCGAAG
RNAcentral lists this ribosomal RNA (2962 nucleotides) under Salmonella enterica subsp. enterica serovar Give. RNAcentral describes it as "partial 23S ribosomal RNA". It matches the Rfam family "Bacterial large subunit ribosomal RNA". Lineage: Bacteria; Pseudomonadati; Pseudomonadota; Gammaproteobacteria; Enterobacterales; Enterobacteriaceae. The record is from RNAcentral.